This 87-nucleotide ribosomal RNA is filed under the name Allomuricauda sp. TY007. RNAcentral describes it as "Muricauda sp. TY007 partial 16S ribosomal RNA". It matches the Rfam family "Bacterial small subunit ribosomal RNA", at positions 1 to 84 of the family's 1533-position model. The record is from RNAcentral. Lineage: Bacteria; Pseudomonadati; Bacteroidota; Flavobacteriia; Flavobacteriales; Flavobacteriaceae.
AUACAAUGAAGAGUUUGAUCCUGGCUCAGGAUGAACGCUAGCGGCAGGCCUAACACAUGCAAGUCGAGGGGCAGCGGGGAAAAGCUU